AUGGGACUGAGUAACAAUGUUACAGAACUUUUCCUCCUGGGCCUCACUCAGGAUCUCGAUGUGCAAAAUGCAUUAUUUGUCAUGUUUUUACUAACAUACAUUGUGACUAUGGUGGGGAACCUGCUCAUUGUGGUGACUAUUAUUGCCACCCCAUCCUUGGGCUCCCCAAUGUACUUUUUCCUUGCCUGCCUGUCAUUUAUAGAUGCUGUGUAUUCCACCACCAUUUAUCCCAAAUUGGUUGUAGACUAACUCCAUAAUUAAAAGACUAUUUUGUUCCCAACUUGCAUGGGCCAGCCACUUACAGACCACUUAUUUGGUGGUGUUGAGGUCUUUUUUUCUGUUGGUGAUGGCCUGUGAUCGCUAUGUGGCCAUCUGUAAGCCACUGCACUAUUUUACCAUCAUGAAUCGACAGGUUUUCAUCCUUCUGUUGGUAGUGGCUGUGACUGGAGUUUUGUGCGUUCUGUGUUCCAAAUUGUUGUUGUGUACAGUCUCCCUUUCUGUGGCCCCAAUGUCAUUGACCACUUUUUCUGUAACAUGUACCCAUUAAUGGAAAUGGCAUGAACUGACACCUACUUUAUAGGCCUCACUGUGGUUUUCAAGGUUGAAGCAAUCUGUGUGGUCAUCUUCACCCUUCUACUAAUCUCCUCUGGCGUCAUCCUAAUCUCCCUUAAAACUUACAGUCAGGAAGGGAGGCAUAAAGCCCUGUUUACCUGCAGCUCCCGCAUUACUGUAGUUGUCCUCUUUUUUGUUCCCUGUAUUUUCAUGUAUGUUAGACCUGUUUUUAACUUCCCCAUUGAUAAAUUUAUUAUUGUGUUUUAUACAGUUAUCACACCCAUGCUGAAUCCUUUAAUAUACAUGUUGAGAAAUUCAUAGACGAGAAAUGCUAUAGAAAACCCCUAGUGUAAAAAAUUAACUGUA
RNAcentral lists this long non-coding RNA (918 nucleotides) under Homo sapiens (human). Its description in RNAcentral is "non-protein coding lnc-OR4A16-1:1". Lineage: Eukaryota; Metazoa; Chordata; Mammalia; Primates; Hominidae. The record is from RNAcentral.